CGGGUAUCCCUGCUGACUAUUAUCCGGUGCACGUCGUAUUCCAAUUCGCGGCCGCGUCGACGCAACGCGAAGAACCUUACCAGGUCUUGACAUCCCUCUGACCGCUCUAGAGAUAGAGCUUUCCUUCGGGACAGAGGUGACAGGUGGUGCAUGGUUGUCGUCAGCUCGUUUCGUGAGAUGUUGGGUUAAGUCCCGCAACGAGCGCAACCCCUAUUGUUAGUUGCCAUCAUUCAGUUGGGCACUCUAGCGAGACUGCCGGUAAUAAACCGGAGGAAGGUGGGGAUGACGUCAAAUCAUCAUGCCCCUUAUGACCUGGGCUACACACGUGCUACAAUGGCUGGUACAACGAGUCGCAAGCCGGUGACGGCAAGCUAAUCUCUUAAAGCCAGUCUCAGUUCGGAUUGUAGGCUGCAACUCGCCUACAUGAAGUCGGAAUCGCUAGUAAUCGCGGAUCAGCACGCCGCGGUGAAUACGUUCCCGGGCCUUGUACACACCGCCCGUCACACCACGGUCGACGCGGCC
This 522-nucleotide ribosomal RNA is filed under the name uncultured Streptococcus sp. RNAcentral describes it as "bacterial SSU rRNA". It matches the Rfam family "Bacterial small subunit ribosomal RNA", at positions 914 to 1418 of the family's 1533-position model. Lineage: Bacteria; Bacillati; Bacillota; Bacilli; Lactobacillales; Streptococcaceae. The record is from RNAcentral.